RNAcentral lists this ribosomal RNA (407 nucleotides) under uncultured bacterium. RNAcentral describes it as "partial 16S ribosomal RNA". It matches the Rfam family "Bacterial small subunit ribosomal RNA", at positions 30 to 526 of the family's 1533-position model. The record is from RNAcentral.
AUUGAACGCUGGCGGCAGGCCUAACACAUGCAAGUCGAGCGGAGCGGCGGACGGGUGAGUAAUGCCUAGGAAUCUGCCUGGUAGUGGGGGCUAACGUCCGGAAACGGGCGCUAAUCCCGCAUACUAUCAGAUGAGCCUAGGUCGGAUUAGCUAGUUGGUGGGUUAAAGGCCUACCAAGGCGACGAUCCGUAACUGGUCUGAGAGGAUGAUCAGUCAAACUGGAACUGAGACCCGGUCCAGACUCCAACGGGAGGCAGCAGGGGGGAAUAUUGGAAAAGGGUCGAAAGCCUGAUCCAGCCAGGCGGGGUGGGUGAAGAAGGUCUUCGGAUUGUAAAGCACGUUAAGUUGGGAGGCGUUACCAACAGAAUAAGCACCGGCUAACUUCGUGCCAGCAGCCGCGGUAAUAC